AGUGAACGCUGGCGGUAGGCCUAACACAUGCAAGUCGAACGGCAGCACAGUAAGAGUUUGCCCCUACUGGUGGCGAGUGGCGGACGGGUGAGGAAUACAUCGCCAUCUACUUUUUCGUGGAGGAUAACGUAGGGACACUUCCGCUAAUACCGCAUACGACCUACGGGUGAAAGCAGGGGAUCUUCGCACCUUGCGCGAUUGUUUUAGCCGAUGUCGCAUUAGCUAGUUGGCUUGGUAAAGGCUCACCAAGGCGACGAUCCGUAGCUGGUCUGAGAGGAUGAUCAGCCACACUGGAACUGAGACACGGUCCAGACUCCUACGGGAGGCAGCAGUAGGGAAUAUUGCACAAUGGGCGCAAGCCUGAUCCAGCCAUACCGCGUGAGUGAAGAAGGCCUUCGGGUUGUAAAGCCCUGUUGUUAGGAAAGAAAAUCAGCAUGUUAAUACCCCGCUGUUCUGACGGUACCUAAAGAAUAAGCACCGGCUAACUUCGUG
Molecule: ribosomal RNA, 492 nt
Filed under: uncultured bacterium
Lineage: Bacteria
Description: partial 16S ribosomal RNA
Rfam family: Bacterial small subunit ribosomal RNA
Source: RNAcentral